GAUGAACGCUGGCGGCGUGCCUAAUACAUGCAAGUCGAGCGAACAGACGAGGAGCUUGCUCCUCUGACGUUAGCGGCGGACGGGUGAGUAACACGUGGAUAACCUACCUAUAAGACUGGGAUAACUUCGGGAAACCGGAGCUAAUACCGGAUAAUAUAUUGAACCGCAUGGUUCAAUAGUGAAAGACGGUUUUGCUGUCACUUAUAGAUGGAUCCGCGCCGCAUUGGCUAGUUGGUAAGGUAACGGCUUACCAAGGCAACGAUGCGUAGCCGACCUGAGAGAGUGGUCGGCCACCCGGGAAGGGAGCCGACGUCCAGACUACUAAGGGAGGCAGCAGUAGGGAAUCGUACGCAAUGGGGGAAAGCCUUACGGAGCAAACGCGCGUGAGUGGUGAAGGUCUUCCGAGCGGAAAACUCUGUUAUUAGUGGAAAACCAAUGUGUAAGUAAAUAUGCACGUCUUGACGGUAACUGAUCAAGAAGCCCCGGCUAACUACGUG
Molecule: ribosomal RNA, 497 nt
Filed under: uncultured bacterium
Lineage: Bacteria
Description: partial 16S ribosomal RNA
Rfam family: Bacterial small subunit ribosomal RNA
Source: RNAcentral